GGUGUGAUGGCCGAGUGGUCUAAGGCGUAGGUCUCAAGUUCCUAUGGAGAAAUCCGCGUGGGUUCGAAUCCCACUCGCACCA
Transfer RNA from Catenaria anguillulae PL171, 82 nucleotides. It matches the Rfam family "tRNA". From Rfam's summary of the family: Transfer RNA (tRNA) molecules are approximately 80 nucleotides in length. NCBI's taxonomy places the organism in Eukaryota, Fungi, Blastocladiomycota, Blastocladiomycetes, Blastocladiales, Catenariaceae. The record is from Rfam.